AAUAAGUGCAGUUUUACACUAUUCAUCUUCAACAUUUGACCGUUUGUCUUUUGUGAAAAAAUUUUAUGAUUACUAUUUUUAUUGUUAUUAGAUGAUAAAAUAUGAAUAGUACUUUAUGUGUGACUAUUUUUAAAAAAAAGUCAUAAAUUUUUCAAAUAAGACGGAUGAUCAAACGUUGGACACAAAUUUCCACGGCUGCACUUAUU
This 206-nucleotide microRNA precursor is filed under the name Oryza nivara. RNAcentral's name for it is "MIR812 microRNA precursor family". It matches the Rfam family "MIR812 microRNA precursor family". Lineage: Eukaryota; Viridiplantae; Streptophyta; Magnoliopsida; Poales; Poaceae. The record is from Rfam by way of RNAcentral.